GAUGAACGCUAGCUACAGGCUUAACACAUGCAAGUCGAGGGGCAGCAUUUCGCUAGCAAUAGUGAAGAUGGCGACCGGCGCACGGGUGAGUAACACGUAUCCAACCUGCCGAUAACUCGGGGGAUAGCCUUUCGAAAGAAAGAUUAAUAUCCGAUGGCAUAUUAAAACCGCAUGGUUUUACUAUUAAAGAAUUUCGGUUGUCGAUGGGGAUGCGUUCCAUUAGUUUGUUGGCGGGGUAAGUGGCCCACCAAGACUACGAUGGAUAGGGGGUUCUGAGAGGAAGGUCCCCCCACAUUGGAACUGAGACACGGUCCAAACUCCUACGGGA
Molecule: ribosomal RNA, 328 nt
Filed under: uncultured bacterium
Lineage: Bacteria
Description: bacterial SSU rRNA
Rfam family: Bacterial small subunit ribosomal RNA
Source: RNAcentral